Molecule: transfer RNA, 74 nt
Filed under: Lytechinus variegatus (green sea urchin)
Lineage: Eukaryota; Metazoa; Echinodermata; Echinoidea; Temnopleuroida; Toxopneustidae
Description: tRNA-Arg
Rfam family: tRNA
About the family: Transfer RNA (tRNA) molecules are approximately 80 nucleotides in length. Their secondary structure includes four short double-helical elements and three loops (D, anti-codon, and T loops).
Source: RNAcentral
GUCACCGUGGCGCAAUGGAUUAGCGCAUUGGACUUCUAAUUCAAAGGUUGUGGGUUCGAAUCCCGCCAGUGAUA